AUGUCGGGAAGUCAUGUCUAACAAAGCAUAGAAACAAACCAAUAACUAAUUUCUUUUAUCUUUGUUAACAUUAAAUCACCACGAUUAUGAUGCAUUUACGAGUUAGAGAUGACAUUUCACAUACUUAUCCAUCAAAAUGGUGCUAAUAUUAUUUUAAAUUACUAGUUAUAGGCAUCAUAUAAGUGGUCAGAACUGUGUAGAAGUGGGAAAUUUUGGUAUCUGGAUGUUCCAGUCUGCUUUGCUGUAUGUUUUCAAAGGCACGCAGGUACUGGAAUAUGCUACACACAGUGGCACAGAUAUCAAUCUCAUGCAUAGGGAUGCUGUAUUUAAAUCAAUUUUUUAGUUAUUAAGGUCACAGGUGCUAAAAAAUCACUCAUUUAUACAUUGUUGGGAAGCAGGACUUAUAAUCUACAGGCUUAAAUAGACAACUUUAAAACUGAAAAGUAUCAUGUGAUGAGUGGGAAUGCAAUAAUCAAUCUUAACGUUAUGCGAAUAUUUUAUGAACCAAAUAUUGUUCAAGUUAUAUUACAUUUUAAACAUCAUGUCAACCCCUUGAUGCAUAUCAAAUACUAGCCAAGGUAACUUGAGACAGGAGAGGGGCCCAUGAAACCUGUUUUCAACAUCAUGUCAACCCCUUGAUACAUAUCAAAUACUAGCCAAGGUAACUUGAGACAGGAGAGGGGCCCACGAAACCUGUAGAUUCAAUUGGCUAGUUGGAAUGUACCUCUUCCAUUACACAGUAUACGCUCAUGCAAAGAGGGAGCAACUAAACCUAAGCAAAUCUGGCCCAACCUGAUUUUGGUCAAGCUCACGUUGGGGUUUUCAGCUUGUCAGGCUAGGCAUGGCCUCAAUUUCUCAAGCCCAACAAAAUUCGG
This 875-nucleotide long non-coding RNA is filed under the name Phoenix dactylifera (date palm). RNAcentral's name for it is "long non-coding RNA (PDAC_LNC005045)". The record is from RNAcentral. Lineage: Eukaryota; Viridiplantae; Streptophyta; Magnoliopsida; Arecales; Arecaceae.